Molecule: unclassified non-coding RNA, 416 nt
Filed under: soil metagenome
Description: partial contains 5.8S ribosomal RNA, internal transcribed spacer 2, and large subunit ribosomal RNA
Rfam family: 5.8S ribosomal RNA (bases 1-120)
Source: RNAcentral
GAUGAAGAACGUAGCGAAAUGCGAUAAGUAAUGUGAAUUGCAGAAUUCAGUGAAUCAUCGAAUCUUUGAACGCAUAUUGCGCCUUUUGGUAUUCCGGAAGGCAUGCUUGUUUGAGUAUCAGAAAUCUCCUCAGCUCCUAUGGCUGGAAUUGAGCAAAUUCCCUUAAUCUUUUGAUGCGGGGAUGCUUGAAAUGCAGAAUUCAAAACCACAAAAUGACGGUUAUGCUACAAGCAAUUUCAUACUUUAUCCCGUCAAACGGAUAAUCUCCUUUUUUGCUUGGUGUUGCUGAUCGACGAUACGUUGGCUUUGAUUGAUGCAGACAGUGUUUUUUUCUUCAUUGAACAAAACACUACAGAACUCGAUCUCAAAUCAAGUAAGACUACCCGCUGAACUUAAGCAUAUCAAUAAGCGGAGGA